GUAAAGAAUAUUGGUCAAUGGACGAAAGUCUGAACCAGCCAUGCCGCGUGAAGGAUGAAGGCCCUCUGGGUUGUAAACUUCUUUUAUCUGGGACGAAAAAAGGGUAUUCUUACUCACUUGACGGUACCAGAGGAAUAAGCACCGGCUAACUCCGUGCCAGCAGCCGCGGUAAUACGGAGGGUGCAAGCGUUAUCCGGAUUCACUGGGUUUAACGGGUGCGUAGGUGGGUAUUUAAGUCAGUGGUGAAAUCUCCGAGCUUAACUCGGAAACUGCCAUUGAUACUAUUUACCUUGAAUGCCCUGGAGGUAAGCGGAAUAUGUCAUGUAGCGGUGAAAUGCUUAGAUAUGACAUAGAACACCAAUUGCGAAGGCAGCUUACUACGGGGUGAUUGACACUGAGGCACGAAAGCGUGGGGAGCAAACAGGAUUAGAAACCCCAGUAGUCC
RNAcentral lists this ribosomal RNA (445 nucleotides) under uncultured bacterium. RNAcentral describes it as "partial 16S ribosomal RNA". It matches the Rfam family "Bacterial small subunit ribosomal RNA", at positions 354 to 796 of the family's 1533-position model. The record is from RNAcentral.